GACGAACGCUGGCGGCGUGCUUAACACAUGCAAGUCGAGCGGGGUCCAUCCGGUGGCAACACCGGUGAAGACCUAGCGGCGAACGGGUGAGUUACACGUGAGUAACCUGCCCCGAAGUUCGGGAUAACACCGGGAAACCGGUGCUAAUACCGGAUACCCCCAACUGGUCGCAUGGCCGGAUGAGGAAAGAUUUAUCGCUUCGGGAGGGGCUCGCGGGCUAUCAGCUUGUUGGUGGGGUAACGGCCUACCAAGGCGACGACGGCUAGCUGGUCUGAGAGGACGACCAGCCACACUGGGACUGAGACACGGCCCAGACUCCUACGGGAGGCAGCAGUGGGGAAUCUUGCGCAAUGGGCGAAAGCCUGACGCAGCAACGCCGCGUGGGGAUGAAUGUCUUCGGAUUGUAAACCCCUUUCAGCAGGGACGAAACUGACGGUACCUGCAGAAGAAGCCCCGGCCAACUACGUGCCAGCCG
Molecule: ribosomal RNA, 475 nt
Filed under: uncultured bacterium
Lineage: Bacteria
Description: bacterial SSU rRNA
Rfam family: Bacterial small subunit ribosomal RNA
Source: RNAcentral